This 755-nucleotide ribosomal RNA is filed under the name uncultured Chlamydiales bacterium. Its description in RNAcentral is "bacterial SSU rRNA". It matches the Rfam family "Bacterial small subunit ribosomal RNA", at positions 54 to 786 of the family's 1533-position model. The record is from RNAcentral. Lineage: Bacteria; Pseudomonadati; Chlamydiota; Chlamydiia; Chlamydiales.
CAUGCAAGUCGAACGGAACUAGAGGGCGACUUUUAGUUUAGUGGCGAAAGGGUUAGUAAUACAUGAAUAACUUACCCUUUACCUGGGGAUAACGGCUGGAAACGGUCGCUAAUACCGAAUGAGGUACUGAUAGGGAGCUAUUGGGGAUCAAAGUAGGGGACCUUGUAAGAGGCCUUGCGGUAAAGGAUAGGUUCAUGGGAUAUCAGCUAGUUGGUGUGGUAAGAGCGCACCAAGGCUAAGACGUCUAGGCGGAUUGAGAGAUUGACCGCCAACAUUGGGACUGAGACACUGCCCAAACUCCUACGGGAGGCUGCAGUCGAGAAUCUUUCGCAAUGGGCGAAAGCCUGACGAAGCGACGCUGCGUGAGUGAUGAAGGCUUUCGGGUUGUAAAACUCUUUCGUGCAAGAGCAAAGUGGGUUAGUGAAUAACUGAUUCAUAUGAGAGUACUGCAUAAAGAAGCACCGGCUAACUCCGUGCCAGCAGCUGCGGUAAUACGGAGGGUGCAAGCAUUAAUCGGAAUUAUUGGGCGUAAAGGGCGCGUAGGCGGGAUUAGAAGUCAGAUGUGAAAUUUCGAAGCUCAACUUCGGAGCCGCAUUUGAAACUGCAAUUCUUGAGGGAUGGCGGAGGAAACGGAAUUCCACGUGUAGCGGUGAAAUGCGUAGAUAUGUGGAGGAACACCUGUGGCGAAAGCGGUUUUCUAGCUUUUACCUGACGCUGAGGCGCGAGAGCAAGGGGAGCAAACAGGAUUAGAUACC